This 677-nucleotide long non-coding RNA is filed under the name Citrus maxima (pomelo). RNAcentral describes it as "long non-coding RNA (CMAX_LNC002122)". Lineage: Eukaryota; Viridiplantae; Streptophyta; Magnoliopsida; Sapindales; Rutaceae. The record is from RNAcentral.
GCCGAAACCCUAGUUGGAAACUAAAACCGUCUACGCUAACAAUUAGGAAAUCACCUUAUUAUUACAAUGUAGUACGCUUAAAGAGGAGGACAUACAAAACCAGGAGGAGGAGUCUUUCCACAGGUUAUCAAGGCCUGGAGAGCAAGAGGAAUGAAUAUGUUCAGGUUAAGAAGCUUGAGCCUUAUAGUGGUGCAAAGACAAAUGGCUGCUUCGAGCUCUAGCAACCCUUUUAGCACUGGGCAGCAAGCAUUUUCAACGGGGUUUCCUAGCCCUAUGUGCACCAAACCUCCAAGAACAUCCACACAAAGCCCUAGCUUAAGUGCAUUGAUUGGACAAGUGGGUUGAGUAGUAGGUGGAGGGUUAAGUCCCGGAACAUUGCCGCCUCCUCCGCCACCACCUCCGCCGCCUCCGCCGCCGCCGCCUGGCGGUGUGUAAGGUGGAUAAGUAGAAGGUGGUGGAAUUGUUACCGGAGGGUUUGUGACAGGAGGAGUAAUUACCGGAGGAUGUGUAAUUGGAGGGACUGUGACUGGUGGUGGAGGAAAAAUGAUUGGAGGGGCAAUAAUUGGCGGCCUUUUGGAUGGUGGUGAUAAUUUCGGGGGGUGACCUCCAUGAUGUGGCGGGUGUUUGGUGCGUGGUGGGUUCGGGUGGGGAAUUUUCGGAUGAGUCUUCGGAGGGCU